GAUAAGGCCAUAUCAAAAUAUUUAGAAACACGAUAACAGAACAAUCCAUAUGAUUUUUUAUACUUAUUUUAACAUGUACCAGAGUUUUUUAUCCAUAAAUUUCCAUUUCAAUACAUUGACGUUCUCUCGAAUAUGAAUUACACUUAGGCCCUGUUUGGUUCCACCAACUAAAUUUUAGCUAGUUAAACUUUAGUCACUUUAGUAGCUAAAGUUCCAAACACAUUGACUAAAAGGAGCUAAAAUAGUUUAGUUCCAUUAGUCAUCCAAGAGUAACUAAAAUAAUUUUAGCUAGCUAAAAUUUAGCAAGGGAACCAAACAGGCCCUUAGUAGCCAAUACUUUUAAGGAACAAGAAUUAAAAUUAUUUGGCAAUCCAAGGACACCCUAUUACAUGUAUCUUUAAUUUGUUAACUGAAUCAAAGUGUUGAAAUCUAAGCCAGUUAAUUUCAAUAUCAGCUCACAUAACGUG
Molecule: long non-coding RNA, 467 nt
Filed under: Sorghum bicolor (sorghum)
Lineage: Eukaryota; Viridiplantae; Streptophyta; Magnoliopsida; Poales; Poaceae
Description: long non-coding RNA (SBIC_LNC005310)
Source: RNAcentral